GCUAGAGCUGACCCUGAAGACACCCACAUGCUGUAGAUUUGGGUUUGUGUUCUGGAGGUGGGAUGGGUUUGUGUUGUGGAGGUAGGAUGGGUUUGUGUUCUGGAGGUGGGAUGGGUUUGUGUUGUGGAGGUAGGAUGGGUUUGUGUUGUGGAGGUAGGAUGGGUUUGUGUUGUGGAGGUAGGAUGGGUUUGUGUUGUGGAGGUGGGAUGGGUUUGUGUUGUGGAGGUGGGAUGGG
Molecule: long non-coding RNA, 235 nt
Organism: Oncorhynchus keta (chum salmon)
Lineage: Eukaryota; Metazoa; Chordata; Actinopteri; Salmoniformes; Salmonidae
Exons: 4
Source: RefSeq, a predicted model, not a curated record